RNAcentral lists this ribosomal RNA (470 nucleotides) under Pichia kudriavzevii. RNAcentral's name for it is "partial large subunit ribosomal RNA". It matches the Rfam family "Eukaryotic large subunit ribosomal RNA", at positions 73 to 556 of the family's 3401-position model. The record is from RNAcentral. Lineage: Eukaryota; Fungi; Ascomycota; Pichiomycetes; Pichiales; Pichiaceae.
AUGCCUCAGUAGCGGCGAGUGAAGCGGCAAGAGCUCAGAUUUGAAAUCGUGCUUUGCGGCACGAGUUGUAGAUUGCAGGUUGGAGUCUGUGUGGAAGGCGGUGUCCAAGUCCCUUGGAACAGGGCGCCCAGGAGGGUGAGAGCCCCGUGGGAUGCCGGCGGAAGCAGUGAGGCCCUUCUGACGAGUCGAGUUGUUUGGGAAUGCAGCUCCAAGCGGGUGGUAAAUUCCAUCUAAGGCUAAAUACUGGCGAGAGACCGAUAGCGAACAAGUACUGUGAAGGAAAGAUGAAAAGCACUUUGAAAAGAGAGUGAAACAGCACGUGAAAUUGUUGAAAGGGAAGGGUAUUGCGCCCGACAUGGGGAUUGCGCACCGCUGCCUCUCGUGGGCGGCGCUCUGGGCUUUCCCUGGGCCAGCAUCGGUUCUUGCUGCAGGAGAAGGGGUUCUGGAACGUGGCUCUUCGGAGUGUUAUA